CGUAUGAACCGAUUACAUUUCCAUGCUUGGGCCAAUACCAUUGAUGCAUACCCAACCAAGGGUGCAUAAAUUUUGGAAUGAAAGACUGAAAGUCACUCCAUUCCUUGGAAGCAAAUGACCCCAAAUUAGUUAGUAUAUCAUAUCACAGAAAAUCAGCUACAAAUUACUGAGAAAUUCAAGUCCCAAAACCUAAAUAAUUUCCAACUGAAACAAGCAAUCGUUUCCCACACACCCAAAUUAGUGUGAUAAUCUUAAAAACUAGAUUAGAACACUUCAUUCUAAACCUCUUCCAAACCUCUUUCGUUCUCAUCCAGCCAAGCAGCUGCACGCCACCAUGACGGCAAUGAUUACCGAUAGAUCACCGGUGACCACCUGACAGGGCUCUUCUAGCCAUCUGAUCAAGACGCACAACAUGGCGAGUGCGACAAGUGGGGUUGGCGUGGUUGUGAUGGAGGUGGCGAGGUACUGCCUCCACGUCGAGCUUCUCCGUCAACUCUAGGUACAGCUUCUCAUUCAAUGAUGAAUCAGCAUGCACUUCUCCAAAUCGGUGUUCCCUUCCAUUACGAUCUUCCUCCUCCUCCUGACAAGAGAAGAAAUUGAAUUGCAUCCCCAUCCGCUCCGAUCGGCCUUCUCUUGGGCAGGAAAAGGAGUAGGAUUAUUAUUAAUAAUUAUUAAUAAUAUAUUAAUGAUUAUUAAAUGAAACUAUUGGUGAUUAAGUUGUUUAGUUUGAUUUAUUAUUUAUAAAAACAAAUAUGUUAUUUGUAAUAAUUUACUAUUUCUGUUUAUUCAUAGUCGGUGUUCGUCAUCACCACUGUGGACAACUAUUACUUCUCUGGCCUUGACGGCAGUUGGCCAUCUGAGUUCAGUUUUUCUGGCAUCCUCUCGGAGUCGAUAUUAUGUCCUCCAUUCUUCCCGAAUUAUUUAGCAAUUUUAUGAGUUUUUAAUUUAUCUAUUGAUGUUGAAAAAGUAUGAUAUGCUUGCAAAGUUAGAAUGGAUUAUGACUUUGUUGUAGAAA
Molecule: long non-coding RNA, 1015 nt
Organism: Dioscorea cayenensis subsp. rotundata (Guinea yam)
Lineage: Eukaryota; Viridiplantae; Streptophyta; Magnoliopsida; Dioscoreales; Dioscoreaceae
Exons: 2
Source: RefSeq, a predicted model, not a curated record